ACUACAUGGAUACCUGUGGUAAUUCUAGAGCUAAUACAUGCUAAAAACCCCGACUUCAGGAAGGGGUGUAUUUAUUAGAUAAAAAACCAACGCCCUUCGGGGCUCCUUGGUGAAUCAUAAUAACUUAACGAAUCGCAUGGCCUUGCGCCGGCGAUGGUUCAUUCAAAUUUCUGCCCUAUCAACUUUCGAUGGUAGGAUAGUGGCCUACCAUGGUGGCAACGGGUAACGGGGAAUUAGGGUUCGAUUCCGGAGAGGGAGCCUKAGAAACGGCUACCACAUCCAAGGAAGGCAGCAGGCGCGCAAAUUACCCAAUCCCGAUACGGGGAGGUAGUGACAAUAAAUACUGAUACGGGGCUCUUUUGGGUCUCGUAAUUGGAAUGAGAACAAUUUAAAUCCCUUAACGAGGAACAAUUGGAGGGCAAGUCUGGUGCCAGCAGCCGCGGUAAUUCCAGCUCCAAUAGCGUAUAUUAAAGUUGUUGCAGUUAAAAAGCUCGUAGUUGAACCUUGGGCCUGGCUGGCCGGUCCGCCUCACCGCGAGUACUGGUCCGGCUGGGCCUUUCCUUCUGGGGAACCUCAUGGCCUUCACUGGCUGUKGGGGGAACCAGGACUUUUACUGUGAAAAAAUUAGAGUGUUCAAAGCAGGCCUUUGCUCGAAUACAUUAGCAUGGAAUAAUAGAAUAGGACGUGUGGUUCUAUUUU
This 699-nucleotide ribosomal RNA is filed under the name Escovopsis sp. BSE1-2-1. RNAcentral's name for it is "SSU rRNA". It matches the Rfam family "Eukaryotic small subunit ribosomal RNA", at positions 135 to 854 of the family's 1831-position model. Lineage: Eukaryota; Fungi; Ascomycota; Sordariomycetes; Hypocreales; Hypocreaceae. The record is from RNAcentral.